RNAcentral lists this unclassified non-coding RNA (336 nucleotides) under soil metagenome. RNAcentral describes it as "partial contains 5.8S ribosomal RNA, internal transcribed spacer 2, and large subunit ribosomal RNA". The stretch from base 1 to 120 matches the Rfam family "5.8S ribosomal RNA", at positions 35 to 154 of the family's 154-position model. The record is from RNAcentral.
GAUGAAGAACGUAGCGAAAUGCGAUAAGUAAUGUGAAUUGCAGAAUUCAGUGAAUCAUCGAAUCUUUGAACGCACAUUGCGCCCGCCAGUAUUCUGGCGGGCAUGCCUGUUCGAGCGUCAUUUCAACCAUCAAGCCCCAGGCUUGUGUUGGGGACCUGCGGCUGCCGCAGGCCCUGAAAACCAGUGGCGGGCUCGCUGUCACACCGGGCGUAGUAGAUUUUAUCUCGCUCAGGGCGUGCGGCGGGCUCCAGCCGUUAAAGCACCCACCUUUCGCAAGGUUGACCUCGGAUCAGGUAGGAAUACCCGCUGAACUUAAGCAUAUCAAUAAGCGGAGGA